CCUACGGGAGGCAGCAGUGGGGAAUAUUGCACAAUGGGGGAAACCCUGAUGCAGCGACGCCGCGUGAGUGAAGAAGUAUUUCGGUAUGUAAAGCUCUUUCAGCAGGGAAGAAGAAAGACGGUACCUUACUAAGAAGCGCCGGCUAACACAGUGCCAGCAGCCGCGGUCAUACGGAGGGGGCAAGCGUUAUCCGGAUUUACUGGGUGUAAAGGGAGCGUAGGCGGAUGUGCAAGGCUGAAGUGAAAGCCCAGGGCUCAACCCUGGGACUGCUGUGGAAACUGGGGAGCUAGAGUGCUGGAGAGGUAAGUGGAAUUCGUAGUGUAGCGGUGAAAUGCGUAGAUAUUAGGAGGAACACCAGUGGCGAAGGCGGCUUACUGGACCGAAACUGACGCUGAGGCUCGAAAGCGUGGGGAGCGAACAGGAUUAGAUACCCGGGUAGUC
Molecule: ribosomal RNA, 441 nt
Filed under: uncultured bacterium
Lineage: Bacteria
Description: partial 16S ribosomal RNA
Rfam family: Bacterial small subunit ribosomal RNA
Source: RNAcentral